This 6233-nucleotide long non-coding RNA is filed under the name Homo sapiens (human). RNAcentral's name for it is "HSALNT0150617". The record is from RNAcentral. Lineage: Eukaryota; Metazoa; Chordata; Mammalia; Primates; Hominidae.
CACAGAUGCACCUGGCACUACUCUUCAAAGUGUGGUCAGCAGACCUUAGAAAUACAAAACUGCAGAUUUAUUGAAUCAGAAUCUGCAUUUUAACGAGAUUCUCAGGUGAUUCAGGUGCAUGUGAGAGUUUUGCCCUUCCCCUUCCUUCUUCUUGGUACAUAGACAUGUGGAGAUGGACGAGCUUUUUGUGACCCUGAAGCAUCAAACCACACGCUGAGGAUAGCUGUACAGAAGGAGUCCAAAGAAGCUCCCAACUGCCUACGUCCAGACCUCACUUACACAGGUCAUAUAUACUGCUUCUUUAGUGAACUGAGAUGUAAGCAGCAUGGUAGAUUUGAAACAUCACGGGAUCCACAUUCAGCCCUAUUUGGACUAUGAGAUCCCACAUUCCUGAACAGAGGUGACUGCAUUAGGAGUAAGCACUUGAUACAGACUGAGUUGAUGAACAGUGACUUGGCCAAAUUACAGGAGAUUUUGGAUAAAGAGAAAUGGAACUACACUGUGAGGAUGCAGAGGAGAAUGACUGACAAGUUAAGGAGGGCAGGGACAAUAAACCUCUCAGCUUUGGUUUCUGUAUCUACUAAAAGAAACAUCAAAAGGCAAGACAACAAAGCAGCAGACAAGCUCAUUGCUGGGAGUGACUCAUGGUGCAGAGUUUGAUAAAUGUCACAGAGAAAACCAGAACCUUUUAACUCCUACUUUUGAUCCUGAAUACCCUGUUAUGAAGAAGACUUUUCAUACUGAAAAAGGUAGAGGAGAUCAGUAAAAAGUAAGACUGGGAAGACUACUCUAAUGAGAUCAAGUAUCUUUAACUGAAGACUUGACAUUCUAAGACAUUAUCUAGCUUUAGUUAUUACCAUUUUCAUAAACAUCAGUUUAUAAGAUUAGCAAAGCCAGCAGGAAUGGUCCAAAGACCCUUAAUUUAAAUGAAAAACAGGCACAGAAUGGGAUGAUGCAUGGAAUGAAGUUUGACAUACACUGUAUUGAGAAAACUUUAGGUAUUCUGAGGGCAGCCUGAAGACUCCAUGCACCCACCCAUAGCACCAGCUAGACAACAGGAAGAGAAGGCGAGAAAGAAUUAGUGACAAACUUUCCUACCUUUAGAAUGUGUCUUCAGGUUGUAAUUCCCGUGUGGGACCUAAUUUCUUGAACAUCUGCUCUGCGCUAGGUGCUUCACAUGCUACCUCAAUUAGUUCAUGCAACCUUGUGAGAUAAAGACUUAAGUUUGAAUUUCCCUGGCUACAAGUCCAUGGUUUUUCUAUUAAGCCAUGUUGGAUGGUGUCAAUUGGUGACAUCAUCCAUGUGAACAUUCCUCAUGUUUAGAUCUAGCAGGACAAUGUGGCAUAGAGAGGGGUGGUCAGGAGAACUGAGUUCUUAGCCUGGUCCCAAGGCCACCUCUUGGGAAGUCCUUUCACCACUCUGGGGUCCAGUUUCCAAAUCCAGAGUCUCCUCUAUCUAACAUUUUCAGAUGAAAUAAAAUCCAGUGAAAGACAUAAUAACGGAAUAAAUAUUUUCAGCUAUUAUCUUAAAUGGAUUACUUCAAUAUUCAUCUUUUGUUUAAAUCUACAUCUCAUUUCUCUUUAGGUAGUAUCUUUUUGAAAAGCUGUCAUUUCAAAGUACUGAAAACCUAAAAUCUAGGCAAUGAAAGUAGAGUAAAUGACUGAGGUUUUCCUAAAAUUACCCUGGAAAGAUGAGAGGAUUCAACUACUGUUCUGGGAAAUGGAAAUAGCUGUUCCCAGCACUCACUCCUCCCCUGAUGCUCCCAAUUAACUUUUAAGGACAAGCAUGAAGCUUUGUAGAGCUUGAUGCCUUCUGCAAGCACUACAGUAAAUGUGGGGCAUAAAUUGCCUCCCAUUAAGACAACUGUGGAGGAUGACAGAAGUAGGUCAGUUUCAAACAACAGCCUAGCUUAGUAGCCUAAGUGGUAUCUGUAAUUCUAGGGUUGGGGCAUCUUUGAAAGCACUGGCUAAAGGAAAAGUUAUUUAACCCUUCUUUGCUGAAUUUUCCAGCUCUCUCCACUUCUUGAGAGAAAAUGUCAACUGUUAUUGUCAGAUAGAAUAUGAAAAUAGGUAGCACAGCAAGAACAUGACAAAUGUUUAAUAAAUUACAAAGUAAAUAUAAAUGACAAGUGUUUAAUAAUUGGAUUUUGGCCCACAAGUGAGGUAUGAUCCAGGUACUGGAGCCAGUCCAGAUGUUGUAUCGGACUGGUCCUGUUAUAAGCCAGAUUCCACCAGUAUAAAAAAGUUGAACACAGGGAUGGAAUGACUCCUCAGGGUAAGAAAGGGAAAGGGGGAGUUCUGAAGGAAGGCCAUAUUUCUGGCUGGGACACUGGCUUCUGACAGAUUUCCAGUGGUUGACUGCAUCCAACACUUCAGGCUUCAAGCUUUGGCUCUAGACCUACCUCCCUGCCCCAUGUUCUCGACCUUAGCAUUUGGGAAGGCUGUGGGGUCUUCACUCUUCACUGCCGCCAGGUUCUCAAUCCUUUCCAUAGUUUUGGCAUUUUCUCUCUCCCCCUGGCUGCCAUGGACCCAUUCUUGCUUUGGGUCUAAGUCAAAACAUCCCACUCAAACCAAUACCUUGUGAGGAAUGAGGCUCCACUGUACAGAAGCAACGAGCUGAUGCCAGUUAAGACCUUAUAAAGUGAGGGGUCUUGGGCAUUUCACCCCCGUGUACUCCUUACUAUAAAUAAACACCCUUAACCAGGUGGUAGAAUGUUAUUCAGGAAAACAGGCAGAAGGCUUUAAAUAUGUUAGCAGAUCCUUCUAUCCUUCCUUUUCUCUUUGUUUAGGUUUCCCAGGAAUGUCUUGUACAGGAACAAGUUUUUGCUGAGAACUGAGGACUUCAGAAACAUUUAUUUCCAUAAAUAAUAUACUAAAUGCAUAUAAUUUUUCUCUAGUUGCUAAUACUGGGACUUGGAUGGGUCUUCCAGGACAAUAGGUGAAGGGUUAAUUCCACAUACUAUACACAAAUUGGUAUUUCUCUAAAAUAAUGUUUUCAAACUAAUGAUAACAAUCCACAGUAAGAAAUACAGUUUACACAGCAAUCCAGUAUAUUCACACACAGAAACACAGACAUAUAAAACUAACAUUUCAUGAAACCAUACUUUUCCUUACAACAUGCAAUGUACUCUAUUCUCAAUUCCAUCCCAUCCUCCCUAUAAAAAAAUGCUAACAAGACCUAUUAAAUUGAUUUUACGACCCAGUAAAUGGGUUUUGAUGUGAUGAAAAAAAUAUUGUGUAUAUUUUUUUCAUACAUUGUAAUUGUUCAUAUUCUGUAUUUCUUCACUAAUUUAGACUGUUUUAUUCUCAAUUAUACUACAAUAGCAAAUAUUUUGCAAGAUUGGGCUAAAAAGUCUCUGUGGCCAAAUGAAUAUAUAGUUUUGAAAUCUGGCUGCAGAUGUGCUGAUUGGCAAAGAACAUUUAAUUAGUCACAUAAGGUACAUCUUUAAAAAAUAUUAUUUCCACUGAAAAUCAGCUAUAAACAUAUUUUCUUUUAUAAAUACCAAAUUAAUAUUAAAGAAGAAAUCUUGCAAAAUUCUUUCUACCAAUACCAAAAGAUUUCUAAUGCAUGGACUAAAAACUCUGUUAUAGGAUUAUCAGAAACAGAUGUUUUUGAUAUUCAAUCUUUCUUAAAUGUAAAAUAUGAAAACCAAGCAAACAAAGCAUUCUGCCUCUUCCAUGCAGUUUUAAUCAUAAUACAGUUUUACUUAAUUAGCAAAUACAGAUGGGGCCUUAAUAAGAACAUUUUAAAUGUAAGAGGUUUUUGUGAUAAUAUAAUCCCACUAGUAAUGAUCAUGUUAUCAUCAUUAUGUAAUUUAGAAAAUUUAUGAGUCAGUGAAAGUCAUUUUCAAGAUGGUAUACAGAAGUCGACCUCAUAACCUCCAUUCCAGCCAAAUGGCACAGCUCAAACUUCCUGAAUAUGCUUACAUAUUUUUUGUUUUAUUACCUUUAUUUCUAACUCUUUCUUGAAGUCUUCCCAGUCAUCAAGCUGGAAAAAAAAAUCCCUCCCUCCCCUGAAAUCACGUAUGGCUUGUUAAGAACACUUGCUAUAUUAACCUCCCUGGGCUUUUCUUUGUAAUUGGUCAUGUAAAUAUUAUACCAACCCUGACUGACUGAGCUUCUUGGAGCUCAACUCUGUAUCAUACUUAUUUCUAUACACUCCCCCAACACCCAAACAACACCUUGCUGUGGCAGGUGAUCAAUAAAUUUUUGUUGGUUAAAAUGAACAUUUUGAACAACAGUGAAAAUAGGCAUUUAUCUAACCUGUGAAGAUGGUGCUACUGUACAGUGCUGUAAAUACAUACCAACUCAUGAGUCUAAUAAGUGGAGACCCAGCACUGCUUGGCCUUUUCAAGUUUUUCCCUUUUGGUGUAUUCCUUUACAAAUCUUUCCCCGCUUUAUAGACUAAAUAGCAUCCAUCAUGUUAAGUCAGUGAAUCCCAUUUAGCAAUUAAAGGUGAUUACAAGAGCUAUCAGGCAUCUGCUUUCAAUAUUAUUCCAGGCAUGGGAAAUUAGUAAUGGCCUGCCUUUUCCCUCAAACCACUGCCUAAUGCCUUGAUUUUUGGAAGAUUUUGCCAAACCUGCUUUGUGGUCUUGCCUUGCUAAGAUCUGGAAGAAUUUCAUAUUUUCUCUGAAAGUAUUGCUAAAAAGAAUAAAAAUAUCCUAGAAUGGGUUGGGUGGUUUCCCUAAUUGAAUACAUGGGCCUGAAACACUCCUGUAUUGAAACUAACUCUAUAUACAUGGCAUGUAACCAGUAAAAUGAAAAGCAGAUGCUGUAAUUUUCACGUAAUAAAUUCAUAUGCAAUCUCUUAAGAUAGUUGAGUGUACUUCAGAAAGCCCAGUAGAGAAAAGACAUGAAUAAGUGCGGUUAGCCUAGAAGCGGACAGAAAUUUUAUAAUGGGGUGGGUAGGUGGGCUGGGGAUGGACAGAGACGUGGAAAGAGCUACAACCUCACUUAAAGCAAUGCUGCCCCCAUGUGGAUACCAAAAAUUAGAAUCUGUAACUCAGUCAACAGCUCUUUAUUCUCCUUAGUAAUAAGACCUUCCACUUCCUGUAAUUUCAAUUUGAUGGCUGUUGCUAGGACAACUAGGAAACGAGGCAAGGAACAGACAGACCUCCAAAAAACAAACAAACAAACAAACAAACAAAAAAAACAAACGAAAAAAACAGGUCACUGAAGUGAAGUUACUAUAUUAAUUCUAACUUCUAACAGGAACACAGGAACAGUGGCCCUGCCAAGGGAAAUGCGAAACUGAAUCUAAAAUGAGGUGCCACUGUCCUGAAAAAUGAUGGUUGAGGUACACAGUGCUCAUGUUCAGGCUGUGUGAUAGACUCAUCUAUCAAAGAGUGCUUGUAAAUGCUUCCCUUGGAAUUGGAUGACAAAACAACUUUAUCUCAGUAUGCACGCAGUGGGAAGGAAAAAUUCAUUUUUUAAAACCUGUAGUCACUUUAAGUUAAUCACUCUGACAAGUAUUUCUGUUUGCAGUUGAAUUGUCAAACAGAUAAUAAAACAAAAUAAACAUGGUGUAGAGAGGUCUCUAGGCAAAACUGCAGUUAAUGUACCUCGGUAAAAAUGGCAGGAGUAUUCCAAAGUAUUACAGAAAUGUGAAAACUUGAAAAGCUGAAAAAGGUUAAGAUGAGUUCUAAUGUUUCAUUUAGAUCCUUAUUAGGAAGUGACUACUCUAUCUGAGUCUAUACUGACUAAAAAGUGUCUUGUUCACGUGCUGCAAUAACUUGCACCGGGAGGUAGAGUAGGUACUGAAUGUGUGCUUCACACUUCCCCUCAAGGACUCAGAAAUGAAGCUAGAAGGGAAUAUGGAGUUCAUUCACAUCCAAUCUCCUCUUUUUACAGCUGAUCUAACUGCAACCUGCAGAGGUUAAGUAACUUGCUCCCAAACCCACAAAGUUAUUUCUGGUGAAGCCAAGACUAGAACUCGGUUUUCUCAACCUUCAUUCCAAGGCUCUUUUGUCUCCUUGUGUUCUUAGAUGGAAAUGCCUGUGUCUGUUAUUACACCUCAACACUGAAGUAUGUGUGCAAAGUCACUGGGUUUCUACAGAUGUUAUUCUGCAUGUAAAUUUUAUCUUAUUUCUCCCCAAGUGACUUUAAAUUUGGAGCAAUUUCAAAAUUAGCAUUCUUUUGGAUAAAGAUUUAGUUGGCUUCAAUCCCAGCACUCUGGGAGGCCAAGGCAGGCAGAUCAUGAAGUCAGGAGAUUGAGGCCAUGCUGGCUAACAUGGU